Non-coding RNA from Urocitellus parryii (Arctic ground squirrel), 337 nucleotides. The record is from RefSeq and is a predicted model, not a curated record. NCBI's taxonomy places the organism in Eukaryota, Metazoa, Chordata, Mammalia, Rodentia, Sciuridae.
GCCAAGCCCUCCAAGCGAGUAUCUAGAGUCUAAACAGACGCAGCGGAGCGCUCGCGCGGGAGGCUGGGCCUGAGCGCAGGACUACGUUUCCCAGCGGGCGGCGGGCCUGCGGGGACCCAUUCCCGGGCCUGGGCCUCCGGAGUCGCUCCUGCGGCGGGCGCUGCUUUUCAAGAUGUCCAAUAAAGAAUCUUAUGGAAAAGAAGAAAAGUCUCAAAGAAAAGGCACUACCUUAUUGCCAAUCUUUGAUGAAGAAGACAAGAAAAAGAAAAACACCUCAGCAAGUUCUACUAGUUCAGUAUACUCUGUGAAAUCAGUUACAUCCGAGAGUAGGAAACUG